AUCCAACUGACGAGUGUCAAAUAGGAGGAAACGCGCGUCAAACUGCAU
RNAcentral lists this non-coding RNA (48 nucleotides) under Schistosoma curassoni. Lineage: Eukaryota; Metazoa; Platyhelminthes; Trematoda; Strigeidida; Schistosomatidae. The record is from RNAcentral.